This 963-nucleotide long non-coding RNA is filed under the name Nothobranchius furzeri (turquoise killifish). Its description in RNAcentral is "lncRNA (ENSNFUG00015006328.1)". Lineage: Eukaryota; Metazoa; Chordata; Actinopteri; Cyprinodontiformes; Nothobranchiidae. The record is from RNAcentral.
CACCUCCUACGUGUUUCUCGUGACCGUAAACAUGCUUCUGAUGUCAUUCUGGUUGGACAUCUGACCACAGCUCUACGUAGAAACUGGAAAGUUUGUUUAAAAGGAUUGGUCUUCUUGGCUUGCAGUCACACAUUUUUAUCAUGGUUGAGGCAACGACUUUAUUUUAUUACUAACUCCAAUCUGAGAAAAAAAAUGAAACGUGUUCAAAGGAUUCAUCAAAAGCCCUAAAGAAAAGGGAAUUUCAUGCCCGUCUGGCUGCAGCCGGACCUGUCUGCUUAAACAUCUUGUCAGACAUUUUGGUUUAAGCAACAAACUUCCCUGUUGAUCAAGAUUUUUUUUUAAAUUCCUGAUCUGCUGGAUGUGCCAACGGAGCUCAAAUGAAAUCUUUUCCACAGUUUUACCAACUUUCUGCUCUGAGUCGUAUAAUCUGAAAGAGCUUUUUGGCAGAACGAUUCCUUUCUUUGUCAUGAUUAUUUUAGGACAGCACCACUGGGUUUUCGUCUCUGAGCUCAGAUAUGAAGUGACUUGAUGCACCUUGUUUCUGCCUCCUCCCGUGUGCUCCCUGCUGGUCCACUAGUGAUCAAGAUCUCCUUAUUGCUAGCUCACAACUCUCCUUUGAGCUCUGUGAUGUGACGUUCAGUGCUGUUUCCACUGUCAGGGGCAGAUCAAGUCUGUUUCAUUCAGAGAUGUUUUUGUCUGAUUACCAGUCAGAUAGGUGUGUAAAGCAGUGUCUGUGUUUACCUUCUGCCCACAGGGUCCUCCUGGUUUCCCGGGUCCUCAGGGUCCAUCCGGACCAGCUGGUCAGCAGGGUGAGCGCGGGUCGCCCGGCCUCUCUGGACUCAAGGGCGAGCAGGGGCCUCCGGGAACGCCUGGUUAUCCGGGAGCCAUGGGACCGCCCGGAUUGCCUGGACUGAAGGGUGAGCGUGGAAGCCCGGGAAGCGCUGGUCAGAAAGGAGAAUUGGU